UGUGAAAACUUGUUGUGAGUAAUCAUGCAAUGCAUUUAUUAGACAUUAACCAAUACUCAUUGUGUGGCAGUAACAAUAUAGUCGAGCAGUGUGUCAAGGUGAAUCUGGAUAACUUUGCUGAUCGUAUGGCCUCGUGCUGACGACGUUUCAAUUGAAUUUCUGCCCUAUCAACUAGUUGGUAAGGUAGUGGCUUACCAAGGUUGCAACGGGUAACGGGGAAUCAGGGUUCGAUUCCGGAGAGGGAGCCUGAGAAACGGCUACCACAUCCAAGGGAGGCAGCAGGCGCGCAAAUUACCCAAUCCAGACACUGGGAGGUGGUGACGAGAAAUACUGGAUCGUUUGUGACAAACAUGCGAUACCGGAAUGAACAUAAUUUAAGACUGUUGUCGAGAAACAAAUGGAGGGCAAGUCUGGUGCCAGCAGCCGCGGUAAUUCCAGCUCCAUUAGUGUCGUGUGACGUUGCUGCGGUUAAAACGCACGUAGUUGGAUUACGCAGUGUGAGCACGGUGCUUAACAUGGAGUGACGUUUAAAGCUUCAAAGUGAUUCAAUGUAUUGGAUAACGGAUGUAUAACUUUGUUUGCAUUACGACCAGUGUAUUGGUUAUGCUGAGGUGUUGCUUUGUGUUAAAUCGAACCGUCUCAUACUACAUGUGUCGUGAAUGUGGCGUAUUGCCUUUAUCGGUCGUAUGUCGUGUUUGCGGAGUGUGCCUUGAAUAAAUCAAAGUGCUUAAAGCAGGCUUGUAGCUUGAAUGUUAGUAGCAUGGAACGAACAAUUGUGAAUGCAUGAGUACGGUGUAAUGCAUAGGCUUUGCUUAUGUGUGACUGAGCUCAUGUAGCACCAACCGUUGAUAUGGAUGUUGGUUUCCGUAUUGAGGUGAGUAUUAAAACGAGCGGUUGGGGGCAUUAGUAUUUGGCAGCGAGAGGUGAAAUUAAA
This 934-nucleotide ribosomal RNA is filed under the name Synactinomyxon longicauda. Its description in RNAcentral is "bacterial SSU rRNA". It matches the Rfam family "Eukaryotic small subunit ribosomal RNA", at positions 172 to 921 of the family's 1831-position model. The record is from RNAcentral. Lineage: Eukaryota; Metazoa; Cnidaria; Myxozoa.